Long non-coding RNA from Nematostella vectensis (starlet sea anemone), 287 nucleotides. RefSeq lists it as uncharacterized. The record is from RefSeq and is a predicted model, not a curated record. The transcript is spliced from 2 exons. Lineage: Eukaryota; Metazoa; Cnidaria; Anthozoa; Actiniaria; Edwardsiidae.
ACCAUGGCGACACCCUUCAUAGGUCCGCUGACAUUAUCAGCAUACAGGAGGCACUGAUCUGAAUCACGUAAACAGUCACUGACGGCUCCUGACACAAGGCCGAGGCCACCCCGCAGCAUUGUGGUGAUGUGUAGCAAGGAGAGAAAUGCCUGUACGCCUGUCUCAGCAAUUCUUAGCUACACCUGUGUGUGCAUUUGGCAGAUCUUCACAUUGGGACUUAAGUAUUCCAGAAGUUAGAAGCUUUAUUUUACUUACACUUGUUUCCAAAGAAACUGCUUUAACGGCCA